AGACACUCAGACCAAAUCACGGGUAUUAAAUUCAGUCUUAUCUUCGGGACUUGAAUAAUUUUUGUAUAAUCCGUGAGCGCGUUUGUGCUGCGGUCUUU
RNAcentral lists this small RNA (98 nucleotides) under Bombyx mori (domestic silkworm). Its description in RNAcentral is "Bm_159". The record is from RNAcentral. Lineage: Eukaryota; Metazoa; Arthropoda; Insecta; Lepidoptera; Bombycidae.